AGCAGAGGCUUCAUCUAGUAUCCCCAAAAGCAAGCAGAGAGUCAGUUUAUUCGUGAAAAGAUGGGACGGGAGUUGCCCGAAUCAAAUACGAAACAACAUAUUUGGAGAUUAUUAGCGCUUUGAAACUUAACUUCUACGCAGGGAUCUGAUUUGACCGGUCUAGAAAAGGUCAGUGCUGAACAAAGCUCCUAAGGUCCCCAUUCGGGGAUUUCCCCGUAAAAGCUAAGUCCUUACUUUACACAGAGUGAAGCUUCCGGCAAUGCUUCAACAAGAGCCAAAGCUACCCGGGCCUGGGAAGAAGAAAAAUCGAAUAGAGGAAGAAGUGGCCGUGUAACUGGCUCGCUUGAGCUUUGGUACGCUAAUAGUUUACUAAUAGGAUUGAAAGAUUAUUUUACGGAUAUCCCAGGGGCGUAGCGGGUUCGAAAGGACCAGGAAGCAGAUGUCUAUUCAAUAGAAGAAGUUGUUCGACCUUUCUUUCAUUUAGUUUGAACCACCCGAAACAAAAGGAAAAUCAGGCUAGGAGAUGACUCGUAAUCGAUCCGGCUGUUGGACCCUGGACCCACCCGGCCCGUAUAUUUCAUAAGAUGUGUUUCAUUCGGGAGGAUGAACUAGACUUUUUUCAUCGCCCCACCCAAGGCAGAUCGAACAAAAGAUCUUCCCACUAAUGCUUUCAUUCUCCCGGCUAUGAUACUGGUAAAGAGCCCUCUUCCUUCUCUCCGACACGGUUGUUGAGACACACUAAGUAGUCAUGGGAAAGAUAAAUGUCAUCUGUGUGAAGGAUAUUGAGAUAGCUUCUUCCUUCUCUGUGCGUGGGUUAGCCCUUGAUCGGAUAAUUAUUCUUAUUUAAAAGUAAAAAAAUAGAGUUCUUUUCACUUUAACAACUGUGUUUUUUCUAACAACUCGAAAGGCGAUUCCCCCUACUAUCUACAACCCCAGACGCGACAAGAGUGCUUAUUCCCCAAAAAAAAGAUUCAUUCCCCUUCUCUUCCCGACGAUCGGUAAUUCUUUCUAACAGCUCCAUCUGCCCAUCUGAGAACGACGCCCUUCUUGCAAAAGCUCUUCUUACGCUAACCCUGUUCGUGGGAUCUUUUAUCCUUUCCUUCUUCCUAGGACAGUAAGAAUGGAAUUGCCUGAAUGAUAUCAGUCAGAGCGCAUUCCCUCACAGCUUCUUUUCUUCUCAAGCACUUGCUAUUUCAUCUUCUCUUAGAUAGGCUAUCUUCCGAUUCAAUGCCAUCAAAAUGUACUUAGCAUGCCUACUUUUCCUUAUUAGUUCAAAUAGCCCUAGCUAGAUUCUCAAGCUCUGAUAAACCCGCAACAAGAACAGCCUUUAUUUUAUGCCGUGCCGAAAGGACUAAGAGCUCUUAUUCCGCAGUCUUUAGCACAUAGCAGUCGACGCAGUACUGAUUCCUGGCGGUUCCGCUAAUCUUCCUAUAAAUUCCAUUCCUAAAAAACCCGGCAAUCGUAGACUGCUUUGGUUUAUCUAGUCUUGAUAAAUGAAAGGCACCCGCUCUUAUUCCACACAGUAAAAGAAAAAGGCCGUCUUCUCAAAGUCCGUACCUGUACCGAAGAGACCAGACCUUGGGAAGGCAUCACCUAUGCUAGAAGGCUUAACAGUCCUCCUUAUUAGCAGCCCAGAUCUGUUUUGUGCUCGGCUUGAUGCUAUCUCAGAUGUCCAUUCAAAAAGAGCUAUUGGGGGCAGCCCUACUA
Molecule: long non-coding RNA, 1707 nt
Filed under: Nicotiana benthamiana
Lineage: Eukaryota; Viridiplantae; Streptophyta; Magnoliopsida; Solanales; Solanaceae
Description: long non-coding RNA (NBEN_LNC018590)
Source: RNAcentral